Long non-coding RNA from Bos taurus (domestic cattle), 797 nucleotides. Lineage: Eukaryota; Metazoa; Chordata; Mammalia; Artiodactyla; Bovidae. The record is from Ensembl.
GGCAAUUUAUUUCCCACACGUCAAAACUGAGCCAGGAGGAAGGGAAUUCGGAUGGAAAUAAUGCAAUUUGUUUGAUUUAGUUUUACCUGUAAAAUUAGGGCUCCCCACCACCACCACCACUUUGAGCCUUCUAGAGUUUCCCACUCCCAGGAAACUGAUGGAGGGAGCAGGCACUGCCCACGCUGCCCAGGGCUUCAGGCACUGCCCAGGGCUGCCCAGGGCUUCAGGCACUGCCCACGCUGCCCAGGGCUCCAGGGCCUGAGGGUGCAGGGGCAGCAGCAGCAAGACAAGACUGUAAGCCUCCGAGAGGAAAAUCACUUGACCCAAAAUACCAAGUAGUGUUGGUCAGGAUCAAGUCCACAGCCUGGAUCCUGACUUGUCAUCUUGGGGUCCCUGGAGCAGUAUUAUCAGCGUCACCCCAGAGCUUGUGUGGCUCAGAAAGGAGACACUGUUUGCCAUGAGAAUGGAGGUUGGAGCCAGUGUCUGAGUUAGCAUCUGCCUGCUCCACCUAUACCUUCACCACCUAUAUGGACCUGUUAUAUUACAAAAUGGAGCAAUCCCUUCAUCUCAGUUUGGGGAUCCACGAGGUUGCAGGGGGAAGAAGAACAAAAAAAGAGAGCCGAGUGGAGUCAUCGAGAGGAGGUCAGAGAAGGCAAGAGGCUUGUUCAAGAGUGAACACAACUCCAUGCCAGAGUUGGCGCUGGGAUCCAGAUCCCUUAUCCCUAAGUCCUUGCCCCCCAAGUAGCCUUAAUCAUAGUAACCUGCUUUCACCGGGGAGCCGGGGCAGUGGGCAUUGC